This 77-nucleotide transfer RNA is filed under the name Treponema rectale. RNAcentral describes it as "tRNA-Arg". It matches the Rfam family "tRNA". From Rfam's summary of the family: Transfer RNA (tRNA) molecules are approximately 80 nucleotides in length. Their secondary structure includes four short double-helical elements and three loops (D, anti-codon, and T loops). Lineage: Bacteria; Pseudomonadati; Spirochaetota; Spirochaetia; Treponematales; Treponemataceae. The record is from RNAcentral.
GCGCCCGUAGCUCAGCUGGAUAGAGUAUCUGACUACGAAUCAGAGGGUCAAGUGUUCGAAUCACUUCGGGCGCACCA